UGGGGAAUAUUGCACAAUGGGCGCAAGCCUGAUGCAGCCAUGCCGCGUGUGUGAAGAAGGCCUUCGGGUUGUAAAGCACUUUCAGCGAGGAGGAAGGUGGUGAGCUUAAUACGCUCAUCAAUUGACGUUACUCGCAGAAGAAGCACCGGCUAACUCCGUGCCAGCAGCCGCGGUAAUACGGAGGGUGCAAGCGUUAAUCGGAAUUACUGGGCGUAAAGCGCACGCAGGCGGUUUGUUAAGUCAGAUGUGAAAUCCCCGGGCUCAACCUGGGAACUGCAUUUGAAACUGGCAAGCUAGAGUCUCGUAGAGGGGGGUAGAAUUCCAGGUGUAGCGGUGAAAUGCGUAGAGAUCUGGAGGAAUACCGGUGGCGAAGGCGGCCCCCUGGACGAAGACUGACGCUCAGGUGCGAAAGCGUGGGGCAGCAAACAGGGUUAGAUACCCUGGUAGUCCACGCUGUAAACGAUGUCGAUUUUGGAGGUUGUGCCCUUGAGGCGUGGCUUCCGGAGCUAACGCGUUAAAUCGACCGCCUGGGGAGUACGGCCGCAAGGUUAAAACUCAAAGGAAUUGACGGGGUC
Molecule: ribosomal RNA, 575 nt
Filed under: uncultured bacterium
Lineage: Bacteria
Description: partial 16S ribosomal RNA
Rfam family: Bacterial small subunit ribosomal RNA
Source: RNAcentral